Molecule: ribosomal RNA, 566 nt
Filed under: uncultured bacterium
Lineage: Bacteria
Description: partial 16S ribosomal RNA
Rfam family: Bacterial small subunit ribosomal RNA
Source: RNAcentral
UGGGGAAUUUUGGACAAUGGGCGAAAGCCUGAUCCAGCAAUGCCGCGUGUGUGAAGAAGGCCUUCGGGUUGUAAAGCACUUUUGUCCGGAAAGAAAUCCUUGGCUCUAAUACAGUCGGGGGAUGACGGUACCGGAAGAAUAAGCACCGGCUAACUACGUGCCAGCAGCCGCGGUAAUACGUAGGGUGCAAGCGUUAAUCGGAAUUACUGGGCGUAAAGCGUGCGCAGGCGGUUUGCUAAGACCGAUGUGAAAUCCCCGGGCUCAACCUGGGAACUGCAUUGGUGACUGGCAGGCUAGAGUAUGGCAGAGGGGGGUAGAAUUCCACGUGUAGCAGUGAAAUGCGUAGAGAUGUGGAGGAAUACCGAUGGCGAAGGCAGCCCCCUGGGCAAUACUGACGCUCAUGCACGAAAGCGUGGGGAGCAAACAGGAUUAGAUACCCUGGUAGUCCACGCCCUAAACGAUGUCAACUAGUUGUUGGGGAUUCAUUUUCUUAGUAACGUAGCUAACGCGUGAAGUUGACCGCCUGGGGGAGUACGGUCGCAAGAUUAAAACUCAAAGGAAUUGAC